AAUGCCGCUAUUCAGGAAUGCCGC
RNAcentral lists this non-coding RNA (24 nucleotides) under Arabidopsis thaliana (thale cress). The record is from RNAcentral. Lineage: Eukaryota; Viridiplantae; Streptophyta; Magnoliopsida; Brassicales; Brassicaceae.